UCAUCUUUCUUUUUCUGUUAAAAGUAAAACUAGUUUGUGUCCUCCCAAACAGAAAGGUCAAAAUGGGAACUGCUAGUAGUUGUGUCUUGUCUUGGAGCAGCUGUGGUUGUCAUCUUAGGGGUACUGGUACUUCCUGGAACCAAAAGAGGAAGAGAUGAUGGAAAGUAUUUGGCUGGCUUUGAUGAAACCUACAGUAUUGUCACCUAUGAGUUCACAAAUGAGUGACAACAGCUGCAUCAGCCCUGAGAGAUAAAGCGUACAGCUUUGCAGUGUUAAAGUUCAGAUGUUGUUUUUCUGGCAUCUCCUCUGAUUUCUCAUGUACUAUGUAGCUGAGUUUAUACUUUUACUGUGUUACAGUGAA
Mugil cephalus (flathead mullet) is the source of this 361-nucleotide long non-coding RNA. RefSeq lists it as uncharacterized. The transcript has 4 exons. The record is from RefSeq and is a predicted model, not a curated record. NCBI's taxonomy places the organism in Eukaryota, Metazoa, Chordata, Actinopteri, Mugiliformes, Mugilidae.